Long non-coding RNA from Cydia splendana, 455 nucleotides. RefSeq lists it as uncharacterized. The transcript is spliced from 4 exons. The record is from RefSeq and is a predicted model, not a curated record. Lineage: Eukaryota; Metazoa; Arthropoda; Insecta; Lepidoptera; Tortricidae.
UACUAACUCAAUAUUAAGAUUACAAUCGAAUCGUACAGUUCUCAAAAUGUUAAAAUUCAUUUGGUUUUUUAUACCAUGUAUUUUGGUGUUUCUGUGUCCAAUUUCACCUGUGCAGCUCCCGGAUGACUUGAAGUUUAUAAAAGAGUUCAAUAACACGGCUGCUGAGGACGAUACAAGCCAUUGCAUGGAGGAGCUCAGAAAAUGUCUCAAUCCACACACGAUUUCACCAGUUUGUGCAAUAAACUCCCUGACUGAUCUUAAACAACCAUUUGAAAGCAUGUGCGAACUGAUUCAUGAAAACUGUCGCAGUAAAAAAGAACAAUGGCAUUAUUUAAGUGAUAAAAUAGAAAAUUGCAGCGGAUCAUUUGGAGAUUCUUCUAAAAUACUCAGGAAGAUACCAACCAAAAAUUAAUCAAUGCUGUUACAAUCAAUUAUCCAGUAUUGCCUACGCUCAA